This 254-nucleotide ribosomal RNA is filed under the name uncultured prokaryote. RNAcentral's name for it is "partial 16S ribosomal RNA". It matches the Rfam family "Bacterial small subunit ribosomal RNA", at positions 524 to 776 of the family's 1533-position model. The record is from RNAcentral.
UACGUAGGAUCCAAGCGUUAUCCGGAAUUACUGGGCGUAAAGCGUACGUAGGUGGCUGUUUAAGUGAGAUGCGAAAUCUGGCGGCUCAACCGUCUAGACUGUAUCUCAUACUGGGCAGCUGGAGGUUGGCAGAGGCAAGUGGAAUUUCCGGUGUAGCAGUGAAAUGCGUAGAGAUCGGAAGGAACACCAAUGGCGAAGGCAGCUUGCUGGGCCACACCUGACGCUCACACACGAAAGCCAGGGUAGCGAACGGG